RNAcentral lists this long non-coding RNA (526 nucleotides) under Numida meleagris (helmeted guineafowl). RNAcentral's name for it is "lncRNA (ENSNMEG00000001032.1)". Lineage: Eukaryota; Metazoa; Chordata; Aves; Galliformes; Numididae. The record is from RNAcentral.
CCUAAAUCUAUAAAUGUUUACAAGACUUAUGUUUUGAUCAACAUAACGCGUUUUGAGGAGGAGUAAAUGCAUUUAUUUUUUUUUAAAUUAGCAACUUAUUUCACUUUUUAGUGACACAAGAAUACCAGUCUGGUAUUUUAUUUUGAGGCGUAGCCAAAAGCAAAUUGGACUCUCUUUUUCUGGUGAAAAUCUGAAACGAGUGUAGCAUUAAUGCAGAUGACCCCUGAAUGAAUUUGAUCUCAUUAGUGUUUGAAUCAACUCAGCUGGAAAACAAUAUAAGUAGGACCUGACUGCAAAACAGGUGCUGCAGCUCAAGUGAAAUAGUCUCAAUAAAAAAAUGAUGGCCAAAAGCUAUAGGCAAUUGUAUAACGUUACUGUAAAACAGCAGAAGGAAAAAAUGGAUUUGCUAUACUUCUUAUUGGAAAACCAAACUGAAGUUCAAGGAGGUACAUUGCUGUGGUUCCAUUACGUGUUUACAGAGAGAAGAUCCAUGACAGAUAAACUGAGCAAAGAAAAUAUAAGUUGA